RNAcentral lists this ribosomal RNA (438 nucleotides) under uncultured bacterium. RNAcentral describes it as "bacterial SSU rRNA". It matches the Rfam family "Bacterial small subunit ribosomal RNA", at positions 954 to 1390 of the family's 1533-position model. The record is from RNAcentral.
GCUAAACGCGAAGAACCUUACCUGGCCUUGACAUCCAUGGAAUCCCGAAGAGAUUUGGGAGUGCCGCAAGGAACCAUGAGACAGGUGCUGCAUGGCUGUCGUCAGCUCGUGUCGUGAGAUGUUGGGUUAAGUCCCGCAACGAGCGCAACCCUUGUCCUUAGUUGCCAGCACGUAAUGGUGGGAACUCUAAGGAGACUGCCGGUGACAAACCGGAGGAAGGUGGGGAUGACGUCAAGUCCUCAUGGCCCUUACGGCCAGGGCUACACACGUACUACAAUGGUCGGUACAGAGGGUUGCGAAGCCGCGAGGCGAAGCCAAUCCCAGAAAGCCGAUCCCAGUCCGGAUUGGAGUCUGCAACUCGACUCCAUGAAGUUGGAAUCGCUAGUAAUCGCGAAUCAGCUAUGUCGCGGUGAAUACGUUCCCGGGUCUUGUACACAC